AGCAAAUUAUUUUAUAGCAUAAUUUCACCUCUUUCUACAUAGAAAAACUUGUUUUUGUGCCAGUCGUUCUGUGCGAAUUGUACAAAAGAGCAGCUAUUGGUAAUUUAGCUUCUAAACACACACACUUUCAUAAUUCAGCCAAUAAAUGCUAAUUAGUUAAGCAGUCCAAGUCAUUACCAUAAUUUACCUCCUUCUCGUUACAGUAAAUGUGUUCCGUGC
Non-coding RNA from Pelobates cultripes (western spadefoot toad), 219 nucleotides. NCBI's taxonomy places the organism in Eukaryota, Metazoa, Chordata, Amphibia, Anura, Pelobatidae. The record is from the annotation of a GenBank genome assembly.